GUGCCAGCAGCCGCGGUAAUACGGAGGGUGCGAGCGUUAAUCGGAAUUACUGGGCGUAAAGCGUGCGCAGGCGGUUAUGUAAGACAGAUGUGAAAUCCCCGGGCUCAACCUGGGAACUGCAUUAGUGACUGCAUAGCUGGAGUACGGCAGAGGGGGAUGGAGUUCCGCGUGUAGCAGUGAAAUGCGUAGAUAUGCGGAGGAACACCGAUGGCGAAGGCAAUCCCCUGGGCCUGUACUGACGCUCAUGCACGAAAGCGUGGGGAGCAAACAGGAUUAGAUACCCGCGUAGUCC
RNAcentral lists this ribosomal RNA (292 nucleotides) under uncultured prokaryote. Its description in RNAcentral is "partial 16S ribosomal RNA". It matches the Rfam family "Bacterial small subunit ribosomal RNA", at positions 505 to 796 of the family's 1533-position model. The record is from RNAcentral.